This 30-nucleotide non-coding RNA is filed under the name Mus musculus (house mouse). The record is from RNAcentral. Lineage: Eukaryota; Metazoa; Chordata; Mammalia; Rodentia; Muridae.
UCAAUAAAUGUUUGUUGGGUAAAGGGGUCA